GCGAAGUCACUGACAACAUGAAAGGAGUUUACUGUAGGAAAUUGUGGUGAUUAUUGUCAUGUUUAUAACCCUUUUACGUCUCAAUUUCUCUGCUUUGUCGCUCCCCUGAAGGGGAAACGUGCCGAAAUUGGCCGAAUCACGAGUAAACACGCGAAAGUUUCCCAAGAAGCCGCGGAGGAAACUUUCGACAACACCAAUAACCCGAAACCACAUCUUACCGAAGUUGAUAAAACUACUUCAGUAAUGAAUGGGCCUGUUUCAGAAGACCAAGACGAUAUGGACUCGAAGGAAGAACCGAUGGAUACAUCUAUAACAGAUCCAAAUGGGAGGGAUUCCUCGAAAUCAGAGAUGGAAUUGGAGGAGGAUUCUGCCUGACCGGAAGGUGUUGUUCAUUUCGAUCCUACAGAGUCGAGGAAGUACCUGUUGAACAUCUUAAUUUAAGGAACGAUGAAGCUCUAAUUCCUGUCGCCCAUUUCCAAAAGAUAUAUGAGACAAAAUAUAUGAAUGAACAAAAUGUUGUCAUGCGCCGGAGCUGAUAGGCUCCAGACUGGUAUGCGAGGUGCUUUUGGCAAGCCUCUGGGAACUGUUGCUCGUGUCAACAUUGGUCAAACUAUUUUGUCAAUUAGAACAAAGCCCCAACACAAAGCAGCAUGUAUUGAAGCAUUCAGACGGUCCCUGGUCGUCAAAAAAUAUUUGUGUCAAAGAAAUGGGGUUUCACAAAAUUUGAUAAAGAAGAGUACGAGAAAGGUCGUUCGGAUGGUUCAAUCAAUCAUUCCUGCUGGUGUUCAUGCUCAGUAUCAUCCGAGCCAUGGCCCUCUGGCUGCCUGGAAAAAAAGAGUCGCUGAAAACGACAUACGUAACUCACAUUAGCAAACCCGUUUAAGAAAUAUCAGGAAAAUCAUAUAAAUGUAAUAUAAAGGAAUGUGGGGGAGGAUAUUUAUGUAAAAUAAUACAUUUAAUGUAUCGUGUCGACUGUUUUGUUAUUAUU
This 988-nucleotide long non-coding RNA is filed under the name Dendronephthya gigantea. Its description in RNAcentral is "uncharacterized LOC114519249, transcript variant X3". Lineage: Eukaryota; Metazoa; Cnidaria; Anthozoa; Malacalcyonacea; Nephtheidae. The record is from RNAcentral.